AUUGAACGCUGGCGGCAGGCCUAACACAUGCAAGUCGAACGAGUGGCGGACGGGUGAGUAAUGUCUGGGAAACUGCCUGAUGGAGGGGGAUAACUACUGGAAACGGUAGCUAAUACCGCAUACCAUCGGAUGUGCCCAGAUGUGAUUAGCUAGUGGGUGGGGUAAAGGCUCACCUAGGCGACGAACCCUAGCGGGUCUGAGAGGAGGACCAGCCCCAAUGGAACUGGGACACGGCCCAGACUCCUACGGGAGGAAGCAGUGGGGAAUAUUGCAAAAGGGGCGCAAGCCUGAUGAAGCCAUGCCGCGUGUAUGAAGAAGGCCUUCGGGUUGUAAAGUACGUUCAGCGGGGAGGCGUUACCCGCAGAAGAAGCACCGGCUAACUCCGUGCCAGCAGCCGCGGUAAUUC
Molecule: ribosomal RNA, 406 nt
Filed under: uncultured bacterium
Lineage: Bacteria
Description: partial 16S ribosomal RNA
Rfam family: Bacterial small subunit ribosomal RNA
Source: RNAcentral